Molecule: ribosomal RNA, 229 nt
Filed under: Rhodospirillaceae bacterium
Lineage: Bacteria; Pseudomonadati; Pseudomonadota; Alphaproteobacteria; Rhodospirillales; Rhodospirillaceae
Description: partial 16S ribosomal RNA
Rfam family: Bacterial small subunit ribosomal RNA
Source: RNAcentral
UAAACUUGAGAGUUUGAUCCUGGCUCAGAACGAACGCUGGCGGCAGGCCUAACACAUGCAAGUCGAACGAAGGCCCGGAGCUUGCUCCGGUCACCUUAGUGGCAGACGGGAGAGUAACGCGUGGGAAUUUGCCCGAUAGUACGGAAUAACUGUUGGAAACGGCAGCUAAUACCGUAUACGCCCCUCGGGGGAAAGAUUUAUCGCUAUCGGAUAAGCCCGCGUCGGAUUA